Ooceraea biroi (clonal raider ant) is the source of this 864-nucleotide long non-coding RNA. RefSeq lists it as uncharacterized. The record is from RefSeq and is a predicted model, not a curated record. NCBI's taxonomy places the organism in Eukaryota, Metazoa, Arthropoda, Insecta, Hymenoptera, Formicidae.
CACAUAGAUAGAGAAACAUAACCAAACAUAAAAAUUCGUAUAUUGUAUUGUAUUGUUUGUUUUGUGCUUUUGUUAAAAACAAUGUCUAAGAGAAUACAUCGAGUGUGUGCGGUGCAAAAUUGUUUUCACAAUGAUUAAUGAUGAUAAUAUAUCAUUUUUUCGCUUUUCAAAAGAGAAAGAAAGCGGUGGUUUCUAAUAUUAUUGAUACGCUACUUGCCGCCCGAAGACAUGGCGGAUCGGCUGAAAAAGAUCAAAGGUGCCGACGCUCUUUGUCCCUAUUGUAUAUCAUUAUGUGGCGGCAUCUAAGGAGUACAAGGCAGAACUAGCCCGACCAAUGAGAGGGCAGCACGAAUACCGAGAUGGAGAGCCUUGGAAGGAAUCAGAGAACAAGGAGAAGCUAAUUGCUCGCGCUAUAAGUCACACGUGCAUUAAGUAAUCAGUUCUAGUCUGUGUUAAAUAAAGUCAGCAUCUUUAUAUAUUUUCACCUAAACCGAAAUGUUGUAAUAGUUCCUCGUGCGUUAAAACUGCCUUAAAUGUAGUAUAACAAUCAAAUAAAUAAUACGCUCGCUACAAUUAUACUGUGGUGGAGGCUCGUAGCGGAAUUUUUUAGAACUUUCUCCAGGAAAAAAAACAGGCGCCUAUGGGAUGAUAACCCGUCGUACGGGGAAACACGGCGAGUUGCUGUUUCGUAGGCGUCGGUAUUUUGCCGAAGAUUCGUUGCCAAAAUUCCGCCCACUGUUUUCGAUAGAAAAAUAGGUAAUAGCAAGUAGUAGUGCAAUUCAACGAUUAAAUAAAAGCAAUUUCAAUUUCCGUUUAUUGUCGAAACGCAUAAGGCACUCAGCGAUGUACAAUGUUGGCACAAAA